ACUUCCUGAGCCGGAACGAGAAGCUUUUUUUGGAAUGCGUGUUCCAUCAAGCUUUUGGCUUACGGUUGUGAUGUUGUGUUGUUGUGUUUGCAAUUGGUCUGUCUUUGCAGACCCUGGUAGCCAGGCUACCCCUUUUCACUUCCUGUACA
Molecule: unclassified non-coding RNA, 149 nt
Filed under: Klebsiella quasipneumoniae subsp. quasipneumoniae
Lineage: Bacteria; Pseudomonadati; Pseudomonadota; Gammaproteobacteria; Enterobacterales; Enterobacteriaceae
Description: GcvB
Rfam family: GcvB RNA
About the family: The gcvB gene encodes a small untranslated RNA involved in expression of the dipeptide and oligopeptide transport systems in Escherichia coli. Included several unknown homologues in alignment (Bateman A pers obs). It base-pairs with SorC.
Source: RNAcentral